UUCGAUGUUCUGGGCUGCACGUGUGCUACAAUGAUAGUGACAACGAGUGCCUGCUCCGAGAGGGGUGGGAAAUCUUAAAAAUCGCUGUCUUGCUUUGGACUGAGCCUUGUAAUAAUUGCUCACGAAAGAGGAAUUCCUCGUAAGCGCGAGUCAUCAGCUCGUGUUGAAUAAGUCUCUGCCCUUUGUACACACCGCCCGUCGCUACUACCGACUGGAUGUUGCUUCGAAAAGUUAGGACCUGCGGUGUCUUGACACUGCGGGGAAUUACGUUGAGAUGUAAUUUCUGGAGGAAGUAAAAGUCGUAACAAGGUUUCCGUAGGUGAACCUGCGGAAGGAUCAU
Molecule: ribosomal RNA, 340 nt
Filed under: Kudoa igami
Lineage: Eukaryota; Metazoa; Cnidaria; Myxozoa; Multivalvulida; Kudoidae
Description: bacterial SSU rRNA
Rfam family: Eukaryotic small subunit ribosomal RNA
Source: RNAcentral